UACGUAGGGUGCAAGCGUUGUCCGGAAUUAUUGGGCGUAAAGAGCUCGUAGGCGGUUUGUCGCGUCUGCUGUGAAAACGCGGGGCUCAACUCCGCGCCUGCAGUGGGUACGGGCAGACUAGAGUGCAGUAGGGGAGACUGGAAUUCCUGGUGUAGCGGUGGAAUGCGCAGAUAUCAGGAGGAACACCGGUGGCGAAGGCGGGUUGCUGGGCUGACACUGACGCUGGAGGCGCGAAAGCUAGGGGAGCGAACGGG
This 254-nucleotide ribosomal RNA is filed under the name uncultured bacterium. Its description in RNAcentral is "partial 16S ribosomal RNA". It matches the Rfam family "Bacterial small subunit ribosomal RNA", at positions 524 to 776 of the family's 1533-position model. The record is from RNAcentral.